CAGUCGAACGGAACUGUUUUGAAAGAUUUCUUCGGAAUGAAUUUGAUUUACUUUAGUGGCGGACGGGUGAGUAACGCGUGAGUAACCUGCCUUCAAGAGGGGAAUAACAUUCUGAAGAGAAUGCUAAUACCGCAUGACUUAUCGGAACCACAUGGUUUUGAUAUCAAAGAUUUUAUCGCUUGAAGAUGGACUCGCGUCCGAUUAGUUAGUUGGUGAGGUAACGGCUCACCAAGACCGCGAUCGGUAGCCGGACUGAGAGGUUGAACGGCCACAUUGGGACUGAGACACGGCCCAGACUCCUACGGGAGGCAGCAGUGGGGGAUAUUGCGCAAUGGGGGCAACCCUGACGCAGCAACGCCGCGUGAAGGAUGAAGGUUUUCGGAUUGUAAACUUCUUUUAUUAAGGACGAAAAAUGACGGUACUUAAUGAAUAAGCUCCGGCUAACUACGUGCCAGCAGCCGCGGUAAUACGUAGGGAGCAAGCGUUGUCCGGAUUUACUGGGUGUAAAGGGUGCGUAGGCGGCUUUGCAAGUCAGAUGUGAAAUCUAUGGGCUCAACCCAUAAACUGCAUUUGAAACUGUAGAGCUUGAGUGAAGUAGAGGCAGGCGGAAUUCCCCGUGUAGCGGUGAAAUGCGUAGAGAUGGGGAGGAACACCAGUGGCGAAGGCGGCCUGCUGGGCUUUAACUGACGCUGAGGCACGAAAGCGUGGGUAGCAAACAGGAU
Molecule: ribosomal RNA, 722 nt
Filed under: uncultured bacterium
Lineage: Bacteria
Description: bacterial SSU rRNA
Rfam family: Bacterial small subunit ribosomal RNA
Source: RNAcentral